Molecule: ribosomal RNA, 2097 nt
Filed under: Colletotrichum higginsianum
Lineage: Eukaryota; Fungi; Ascomycota; Sordariomycetes; Glomerellales; Glomerellaceae
Description: partial 28S ribosomal RNA (partial)
Rfam family: Eukaryotic large subunit ribosomal RNA (bases 290-2097)
Source: RNAcentral
UAAAACUUUUAACAAGAUCUCUUGUUCUGCAUCGAUGAAAACGCAGCGAAAUGCAUAAGUAAUGUGAAUUGCAGAAUUCAGUGAAUCAUCGAAUCUUUGAACGCACAUUGCGCCCGCCAGCAUUCUGGGCAUGCCUUUCGAGCUCAUUCAACCCUCAAGCCCAGCUGGUUGCCCUACGCACGUAGCCCUUAAAGUAGUGCGGACCCUCCCGAGCCUCCUUUGCGUAGUAACUUAACGUCUCGCACUGGAUCCGAGGACUCUGCCGUAAAACCCCAAAACUUUUACAGGUUGACCUCGGAUCAGUAGGAAUACCCGCUAACUUAAGCAUACAAUAAGCGAGAAAAGAAACCAACAGGAUUGCCCCAGAACGCGAGUGAAGCGCAACAGCUCAAAUUUGAAAUCUGCCCCAGCCCAGUGUAAUUUGCAGAGAUGCUUUGGCCGUGCCUUCCGAUUCCCUGAACGGACGCCAUAGAGGUGAGAGCCCCGUACGUUGACACCAAGCCUUGUAAAGCUCCUUCGACGAGUCGAGUAGUUUGGAAUCUGCUCAAAAUGGAGAGUAUAUUUCUUCUAAAGCUAAAUAUAGGCCAGAGACCGAUAGCGCACAAGUAGAUGAUCGAAAGAUGAAAAGCACUUUGAAAGAGGUUAAACAGCACGUGAAAUUGUUAAAAGGGAACGCUUGUGACCAGACUUGCGUCCGGUGAAUCACCCAGCUCUCGCGCUGGCACUUCGCCGGCACAGCCAGCAUCAGCUUGCCGUCGGGACAAAGUUCAGAACGUAGCUCUCUUCGGGAGUGUUAUAGCCUGUUGCAUAAUACCCUUCGCGGCUGAGUACGCGCUCCGCAAGAUGCUGGCUAAUGGUCAUCAGCGACCCGUCUGAAACACGGACCAAGAGUCAACCUUAUGUGCGAGUGUUGGGUGUUAAACCCCUACGCGUAAUGAAAGUGAACGCAGGUGAGAGCUUCGGCGCAUCAUCGACCGAUCCUGAUGUUCUCGAUGGAUUGAGUAAGAGCAUAUAGGUUGGACCCAAAGAAGGUGAACUAUGCGUGUUAGGUGAAGCCAGAGGAAACUCUGUGGAGGCUCGCACGGUUCUGACGUGCAAAUCGAUCGUCAAACAUGCGCAUGGGGCGAAAGACUAAUCGAACCUUCUAGUAGCGUUUCCGCCGAAGUUUCCCUCAGGAUAGCAGUGUUGAACUCAGUUUAUAGGUAAAGCGAAUGAUAGGACUCGGGCGCUAUAUUCCUUCACCAUUCUCAAACUUUAAAUAUGAAGAAAGCCCUUGUUGCUUAAUUGAACGUGGGCAUUCGAAGUAUCAACACUAGUGGCCAUUUUUGUAAGCAGAACUGCGAUGCGGAUGAACCGAACGCGAGUUAAGGUGCCAGAGUAGUCGCUCAUCAGACACCACAAAAGUGUUAGUACAUCUUGACAGCAGGACGUGGCCAUGGAAGUCGGAAUCCGCUAAGGACUGUUAACAACUCACCUCCGAAUUACUAGCCCUGAAAAUGGAUGCGCUCAACGACUCACCCAUACCUCGCCCUCAGUGUAAAACGAUGCGCUGAGGAGUAGGCGACGUGGAGGUCAGUGACGAAGCCUAGGCGUGAGCCCGGUAGAACGGCCUCUAUGCAGAUCUUGUGUAGUAGCAAAUACUUCAAUGAGAACUUGAAGACCGAAUGGGAAAGUUCCAUGUGAACACGGUUGGACAUGGGUUAGUCAUCCUAAGCCAUAGGAAGUUCCGUUUCAAAGGCACUUGGCCCCGUAUGCGAAAGGAAGCCGUCAAUUUCCGGCACCUGGAUGGGUUUGCGCCGCAACGCAACUGAACGCGAGACGACGCGGGGGCCCCGGCAGAUCUUUUCUUCUUAACAGUCUAUCACCCUGAAAUCGGUUUGUCCGGAGCUAGGUUUAACGCGGAAGAGCCCAGCACUUCUGUUGGUCCGGUCGCUCUCGACGUCCCUUAAAAUCCGGAAGAAUAAUUCUCACGCCAGGUCUACUCAUAACCGCAGCAGUCUCCAAGGUGAACAGCCUCUGGUUGAUAGAACAAUGUAGAUAAGGGAAGUCGGCAAAACAGAUCCGUAACUUCGGAUAAGGAUUGGCUCUAAGGUUGGG